RNAcentral lists this transfer RNA (76 nucleotides) under Firmicutes bacterium CAG:345. RNAcentral describes it as "transfer RNA-Ala(TGC)". It matches the Rfam family "tRNA". Rfam says of the family: Transfer RNA (tRNA) molecules are approximately 80 nucleotides in length. Their secondary structure includes four short double-helical elements and three loops (D, anti-codon, and T loops). Further hydrogen bonds mediate the characteristic L-shaped molecular structure. tRNAs have two regions of fundamental functional importance: the anti-codon, which is responsible for specific mRNA codon recognition, and the 3' end, to which the tRNAs corresponding amino acid is attached (by aminoacyl-tRNA synthetases). tRNAs cope with the degeneracy of the genetic code in two manners: having more than one tRNA (with a specific anti-codon) for a particular amino acid; and 'wobble' base-pairing, i.e. permitting non-standard base-pairing at the 3rd anti-codon position. The record is from RNAcentral. Lineage: Bacteria; Bacillati; Bacillota. RNAcentral also lists the same sequence under 1 other name.
GGGGCUGUAGCUCACCUGGCAGAGCAUCUGCUUUGCAAGCAGAGGGUAGCGAGUUCGAUCCUCGUCAGCUCCACCA